GUGGGGAAUAUUGGACAAUGGGCGAAAGCCUGAUCCAGCCAUGCCGCGUGUGUGAAGAAGGUCUUCGGAUUGUAAAGCACUUUAAGUUGGGAGGAAGGGCAGUAAGUUAAUACCUUGCUGUUUUGACGUUACCGACAGAAUAAGCACCGGCUAACUUCGUGCCAGCAGCCGCGGUAAUACGACGGGUGCAAGCGUUAAUCGGAAUUACUGGGCGUAAAGCGCGCGUAGGUGGUUUUGUAAGUUGGAGGUGAAAUCCCCGGGCUCAACCUGGGAACUGCCUCCAAAACUGCAUGACUAGAGUACGGUAGAGGGUAGUGGAAUUUCCUGUGUAGCGGUGAAAUGCGUAGAUAUAGGAAGGAACACCAGUGGCGAAGGCGACUACCUGGACUGAUACUGACACUGAGGUGCGAAAGCGUGGGGAGCAAACAGGAUUAGAUACCCGGGUAGUCC
Molecule: ribosomal RNA, 450 nt
Filed under: uncultured bacterium
Lineage: Bacteria
Description: partial 16S ribosomal RNA
Rfam family: Bacterial small subunit ribosomal RNA
Source: RNAcentral